This 1429-nucleotide ribosomal RNA is filed under the name uncultured organism. Its description in RNAcentral is "SSU rRNA". It matches the Rfam family "Bacterial small subunit ribosomal RNA". The record is from RNAcentral.
UAGCGACAGGCUUAACACAUGCAAGUCGAGGGGCAGCACAGGUAGCAAUACCGGGUGGCGACCGGCGCACGGGUGAGUAACGCGUAUGCAACUUACCUAUCAGAGGGGGAUAACCCGGCGAAAGUCGGACUAAUACCGCAUGAAGCAGGGGCCCCGCAUGGGGAUAUUUGCUAAAGAUUCAUCGCUGAUAGAUAGGCAUGCGUUCCAUUAGGCAGUUGGUGGGGUAACGGCCCACCAAACCGACGAUGGAUAGGGGUUCUGAGAGGAAGGUCCCCCACAUUGGUACUGAGACACGGACCAAACUCCUACGGGAGGCAGCAGUGAGGAAUAUUGGUCAAUGGCCGAGAGGCUGAACCAGCCAAGUCGCGUGAGGGAUGAAGGUUCUAUGGAUCGUAAACCUCUUUUAUAAGGGAAUAAAGUGCGGGACGUGUCCCGUUUUGUAUGUACCUUAUGAAUAAGGAUCGGCUAACUCCGUGCCAGCAGCCGCGGUAAUACGGAGGAUCCGAGCGUUAUCCGGAUUUAUUGGGUUUAAAGGGUGCGUACGCGGCCUUUUAAGUCAGCGGUGAAAGUCUGUGGCUCAACCCUAAAAUUGCCCUUGAAACUGGGGGGCUUGAGUAUGUUUGAGGCAGGCGGAAUGCGGGGUGUAGCGGUGAAAAUGCAUAGAUAUCACGCAGAACCCCGAUUGGGAAGGCAGCCUGCCAAGCCAUGACUGACGCUGAUGCACGAAAGCGUGGGGAUCAAACAGGAUUAGAUACCCUGGUAGUCCACGCAGUAAACGAUGAUCACUAGCUGUUUGCGAUACACUGUAAGCGGCACAGCGAAAGCGUUAAGUGAUCCACCUGGGGAGUACGCCGGCAACGGUGAAACUCAAAGGAAUUGACGGGGGCCCGCACAAGCGGAGGAACAUGUGGUUUAAUUCGAUGAUACGCGAGGAACCUUACCCGGGUUUGAACGCAUUCGGACCGAGGUGGAAACACCUUUUCUAGCAAUAGCCGUUUGCGAGGUGCUGCAUGGUUGUCGUCAGCUCGUGCCGUGAGGUGUCGGCUUAAGUGCCAUAACGAGCGCAACCCUUGCCACUAGUUACUAACAGGUAAAGCUGAGGACUCUGGUGGGACUGCCAGCGUAAGCUGCGAGGAAGGCGGGGAUGACGUCAAAUCAGCACGGCCCUUACAUCCGGGGCGACACACGUGUUACAAUGGCGUGGACAAAGGGAGGCCACCUGGUGACAGGGAGCGAAUCCCCAAACCACGUCUCAGUUCGGAUCGGAGUCUGCAACCCGACUCCGUGAAGCUGGAUUCGCUAGUAAUCGCGCAUCAGCCAUGGCGCGGUGAAUACGUUCCCGGGCCUUGUACACACCGCCCGUCAAGCCAUGGGAGCCGGGGGUACAUGAAGUCCGUAACCGCGAGGAUCGGCCUAGGGUAAAACUGGU